RNAcentral lists this ribosomal RNA (278 nucleotides) under uncultured Flavobacterium sp. Its description in RNAcentral is "partial 16S ribosomal RNA". It matches the Rfam family "Bacterial small subunit ribosomal RNA", at positions 1 to 285 of the family's 1533-position model. Lineage: Bacteria; Pseudomonadati; Bacteroidota; Flavobacteriia; Flavobacteriales; Flavobacteriaceae. The record is from RNAcentral.
UCGAGAGUUUGAUCCUGGCUCAGGAUGAACGCUAGCGGCAGGCUUAACACAUGCAAGUCGAGGGGUAUAGUUCUUCGGAGCUAGAGACCGGCGCACGGGUGCGUAACGCGUAUGCAAUCUACCUUUUACAGAGGGAUAGCCCAGAGAAAUUUGGAUUAAUGCCCCAUAGUGUUAUUGAAUCGCAUGGUUUAAUAACCUAAAGUUCCAACGGUAUAAGAUGAGCAUGCGUCCCAUUAGUUAGUUGGUAAGGUAACGGCUUACCAAGACGAUGAUGGGUA